AGAAAAAAAAUCUACAGGGUGUAGUAGACAGCAGUACAGAUGUAGGUCUGCUGUUGGUGGAGAUUUAAGCAAGCUCACAAUGUUCUUGCCCAAAUUCAGAACAUGUGUCAGGGUCGACUGGGAGACACAGAUGUCACUUGAGGCAGAGGUGAUCCUUCAAACAGUUACACUAAAAUACUUCUGUAGACGAUCCCAGAAAAGUACUGUGUUAGUAUCGAGGAGCAGUGAUGUGAAAUUUGAAUACUCUGAAUACAUACUAUGAAUGACCCUUAUUAAUCUACUGAACUUGUAAAAAGUGCACUUUGUAAUAGUGUCAAAUUAAGCCUUUUAACUAUCUCUCUCAUCUUUUCCUUUCACUUCUCAUGUGUACCUUCACAGAUCUCCACAGGUUUGGAAAGUCUGACUCUCAGACUUCAGUCCUGUAGGUUCUGCUGUCAGUACUCCAUUGUGCGAUACCCACCACCACCUUCAGUGAAUGGCUGAAAACCCACGGCCUGAAGGCGGGUCAUGGUACAGUUUGAGUGGCAUGAUGGGACAGUGAAGAAUCUUUCAUCAGUGCAAAAGUACCAGGGUGCAGGUUCUUCUGGACAUGUCUGGGAUGAACGCCCUCCACCUGCUCCAUCUCCAGCACGCUCUGUGAAUACUACUGCAGGAGCAGCUGGCCAACCAACAGAGCUUCAAUGUCAUCCUGUAGGUCAAACACACCGCCGGGGUGUUUUCACUCAUUUAUAAUGUGACCGAUUAUGAUCUGCUUUGUCAUUUAGUCCUAAAGUCUUCUGUCUCUUUCACUCUUGAAGAUUUUCCUCUAUAUAUACCAGCCAAAAGUUUGCACACACUUGCCUAAAAAGCUUUCAGUCUAAUGCUUUAUGCUUAAUUACUUUAAGUUGUGCAAUUGUCUAUAUAAAUAUAAAAUGUGAUUUGUAAUUUACAGCUUUCGAAAUGAAAAUGUACAGUUUUCUUUAAGAUUAGUUCACCCAAAAGUGAAUAUUCUGUUGUCAUUUACUAAUGUCUUCCAAACACAAAUUAAGAUACUUUUAAUAAAACCUGAGAGAUUUCUGUUCCUCCAUUGAAAAUCCAUUCCACCAAAACUUUCAAGCUUCAAAAGGUUCAUACAGACAUCAUUAAAGUAAUGCAUAUUUCAUUCCCAACAUUUCAUCCCCAUACAUCCAUUUAUUUGUUUUUUCAUAAAGUUUUCAUGGUGGUAUUAAUCCUAAAAUAUGAGCAACAUCAAAACUAAAGAAUUAGUAGGUGUGUCUAGACAUUUGAAUAGUAGUGUAUGUGUCUUCUUUUAAUUGGUCUGUAAGAACACUACAAAAACUAACAUUUGCAUCUAUACAUUAAAUUGGCACAUUAUGUUCGUAUUAUUUAAAAUUUAGUGCAAAACAGCUCAUAUAAAUGCAAAUUAUAUAUUUUCAGUUCCGAUUCAGGUGCAUGUACAAGCAGGAAUGACUGGGACUUUUCUCAGUGGACUUAUGGUCCAGCUGUCGAUCCCACAUUUAGAUACCAAGCAAAUAAACAAAGAUUUUAUUAGGAGAAAAAAAUUCUGACAUCAUCUGACUGGCCUAUUUACAUGUAAGCUGCGGUGCUGGAUCCUGGCAACAUAGUCAACAGUUUCAAAAAAUUAAUAGGCCUAUAUAUAUAUAUGAGAACUAGAUAAUACAG
Molecule: long non-coding RNA, 1662 nt
Organism: Cyprinus carpio (common carp)
Lineage: Eukaryota; Metazoa; Chordata; Actinopteri; Cypriniformes; Cyprinidae
Exons: 3
Source: RefSeq, a predicted model, not a curated record